Cucurbita maxima (winter squash) is the source of this 632-nucleotide long non-coding RNA. RefSeq lists it as uncharacterized. The record is from RefSeq and is a predicted model, not a curated record. NCBI's taxonomy places the organism in Eukaryota, Viridiplantae, Streptophyta, Magnoliopsida, Cucurbitales, Cucurbitaceae. The transcript has 2 exons.
GGGUUACAAUUUCGUCGCCGCUAAACCCUUGGCCUCCUUCGCCUCCAUAAAUAUCCACCGACGUUCUUCAUCUUCUUCACCUUUUUGUGGCUGAAUUCGUCCAUGGUUCUAAAUUCUCCGAUAUCCGUCCCAGCAGUUUCUUUUCGUAUUGUUUCAGUUUGUAUGGUUAGGGUUUAAUUUUGGUUAUUGAAGUUCAUCCAUGAAUAUUCCGAUGAAGAAGCUCUCCCAAAAUUGAUAGGAAGUGCCGUAUGACACUCCAAACCGCAGCGAGAAGCCAUUGAUACGACUGUUGGCUCCCAUCAGGCAGUGAACUCCGACGCCGAUUCGUUUCUACCCUGGAGCGGUCUGGUUGUUGGAUCGUUUUGCUGUCCGGGAAUUCUUAGCCGUUUUCCGUGAUUCUCCUGUGUGGUUGAUUUGAAACGGGUCUCUGAGGAUUUUGAGGGGUAAUGAUCAAGACAACAGUAGUCGGCAUUUGUACUUCCAAAAAUGUUUGAAGACCGAAAGUUGGGUCUUGAAGAUGAUCAGAUAUUGUUCUAAUCUCCGACGAUAAAUUAUGUUCCCUGAUAUGGAUGGAUGUUGUUUUAGACUUCACCAAUAUUGGAGAAUGAGAAUCGUUAUGGUUUGGAUUGACA